CCUACGAGUGGCAGCAGUGAGGAAUAUUGGUCAAUGGUCGGGAGACUGAACCAGCCAAGCCGCGUGAGGGAUGAAGGUACAGAGUAUCGUAAACCUCUUUUGUCAGGGAACAAAGGCGGGGACGCGUCCCCGGAUGAGUGUACCUGAAGAAAAAGCAUCGGGUAACUCCGUGACAGCAGCCGCGGUAAUACGGGGGAUGCGAGCGUUCUCCGGAUUUAUUGGGUUUAACGGGUGAGCAGGCGGUGCGUUAAGUCAGCGGUCAAAGCCCGGGGCUCAGCCCCGGCCCGCCGUUGAAACUGGCAGUCUCGAGUUGGAGAGAAGUAUGCGGAAUGCGCGGUGUAGCGGUGAAAUGCAUAGAUAGCGCGCAGAACUCCGAUUGCGAAGGCAGCAUGCCGGCUCCACACUGACGCUGAGGCACGAAAGUGUGGGUAUCGAACAGGAGUAGAUACCCUUGUAGUC
RNAcentral lists this ribosomal RNA (459 nucleotides) under uncultured bacterium. RNAcentral describes it as "partial 16S ribosomal RNA". It matches the Rfam family "Bacterial small subunit ribosomal RNA", at positions 338 to 795 of the family's 1533-position model. The record is from RNAcentral.